ACCUGCUUUUGAACAUGCACUGGCAUUUCCUUAGCAAUCUUGUCUGAUCUCAGAAGCUGAGCAGGAUCUGGCCUGGCUGCUAUUUGGAUAGGAGGCCAUUUGGGAAUCUCAGGUGUAGCAGGUU
Molecule: ribosomal RNA, 124 nt
Filed under: Salvator merianae (Argentine black and white tegu)
Lineage: Eukaryota; Metazoa; Chordata; Lepidosauria; Squamata; Teiidae
Source: RNAcentral